UGGGGAAUAUUGGACAAUGGGCGAAAGCCUGAUCCAGCCAUGCCGCGUGGGUGAAGAAGGCCUUCGGGUUGUAAAGCCCUUUUGUUGGGGAAGAAAUCCUGCUGGCUAAUACCCGGCGGGGAUGACGGUACCCAAAGAAUAAGCACCGGCUAACUUCGUGCCAGCAGCCGCGGUAAUACGAAGGGUGCAAGCGUUACUCGGAAUUACUGGGCGUAAAGCGUGCGUAGGUGGUGGCUUAAGUCCGUUGUGAAAGCCCUGGGCUCAACCUGGGAAUUGCAGUGGAUACUGGGUCACUAGAGUGUGGUAGAGGGUGGCGGAAUUCCCGGUGUAGCAGUGAAAUGCGUAGAGAUCGGGAGGAACACCCGUGGCGAAGGCGGCCACCUGGGCCAACACUGACACUGAGGCACGAAAGCGUGGGGAGCAAACAGGAUUAGAUACCCUGGUA
This 445-nucleotide ribosomal RNA is filed under the name uncultured bacterium. RNAcentral describes it as "bacterial SSU rRNA". It matches the Rfam family "Bacterial small subunit ribosomal RNA", at positions 355 to 792 of the family's 1533-position model. The record is from RNAcentral.